UUGUCGUCAGCUCGUGUCGUGAGAUGUUGGGUUAAGUCCCGCAACGAGCGCAACCCUCGACCUUAGUUGCCAGCAUUCAGUUGGGCACUCUAAGGUGACUGCCGGCUAAAAGUCGGAGGAAGUGGGGAUGACGUCAAAUCAUCAUGCCCCUUAUGACCUGGGCUACACACGUGCUACAAUGGGCGGUACAAAGGGUCGCGAACCCGCGAGGGGGAGGCCAAUCCCAAAAACGACCGCUCUCAGUUCGGAUUGCAGGCUGCAACUCGCCUGCAUGAAGCCGGAAUCGCUAGUAAUCGCGGAUCAGCAUGCCGCGGUGAAUACGUUCCCGGGUCUU
This 334-nucleotide ribosomal RNA is filed under the name uncultured Anoxybacillus sp. RNAcentral's name for it is "bacterial SSU rRNA". It matches the Rfam family "Bacterial small subunit ribosomal RNA", at positions 1049 to 1382 of the family's 1533-position model. Lineage: Bacteria; Bacillati; Bacillota; Bacilli; Caryophanales; Anoxybacillaceae. The record is from RNAcentral.